Molecule: ribosomal RNA, 906 nt
Filed under: uncultured archaeon
Lineage: Archaea
Description: bacterial SSU rRNA
Rfam family: Archaeal small subunit ribosomal RNA
Source: RNAcentral
UCCGGUUGAUCCUGCCGGAGGUUACUGCUAUCGGGGUUGGACUAAGCCAUGCGAGUUUAAUGUAGCAUUACAUGGUGUACUGCUCAUUAACACGUGGACAACCUACCCUCGAGACGGGGAUAAACCCGGGAAACUGGGUAUAAUACCCGAUAGAUCUCGACUGCUGGAAUGCAUCGAGCUCCAAAGCUCCGGCGCUCAAGGAUGGGUCUGCGGCCUAUCAGGUAGUAGUGGGUGUAGCGUACCUACUAGCCUACGACGGGUACGGGUUGUGAGAGCAAGAGCCCGGAGAUGGAUUCUGAGACACGAAUCCAGGCCCUACGGGGUGCAGCAGGCGCGAAAACUUUACAAUGCUGGAAACAGCGAUAAGGGGACCUCGAGUGCCAGGUUACAAAUCUGGCUGUCGUGAUGUCUAAAAAGCAUUGCAUAGCAAGGGCCGGGCAAGACCGGUGCCAGCCGCCGCGGUAACACCGGCGGCUCGAGUGGUAACCGUUAUUACUGGGUCUAAAGGGUCUGUAGCCGGCCGGAUAAGUCUCUUGGGAAAUCUGGCAGCUUAACUGUCAGGCUUUCAGGAGAUACUGUCUGGCUCGAGGCCGGGAGAGGUGAGAGGUACUUCAGGGGUAGGGGUGAAAUCUUGUAAUCCUUGAAGGACCACCAGUGGCGAAGGCGUCUCACCAGAACGGACCUGACGGAAAGGGACGAAAGCUAGGGGCACGAACCGGAUUAUAUACCCGGGUAGUCCUAGCCGUACACGAUACUCGCUAGGUGUCGGCCACGGCGCGACCGUUGUCGGUGCCGUAGAGAAGCCGUGAAGCGAGCCACCUGGGAAGUACGGCCGCAAGGCUGAUACUUAAAGGUAGUGGGCGGGGGAGCAUCACACGGGUGGAGCUUGCGGCUUAGUAGGAUUCA